GCGCCCGUAGCUCAGCUGGAUAGAGCAACGGACUUCUAAUCCGUGGGUCGGAGGUUCGAAUCCUCUCGGGUGCGCCA
RNAcentral lists this transfer RNA (77 nucleotides) under Tepidanaerobacter syntrophicus. RNAcentral describes it as "tRNA-Arg". It matches the Rfam family "tRNA". Rfam says of the family: Transfer RNA (tRNA) molecules are approximately 80 nucleotides in length. Their secondary structure includes four short double-helical elements and three loops (D, anti-codon, and T loops). Lineage: Bacteria; Bacillati; Bacillota; Clostridia; Thermosediminibacterales; Tepidanaerobacteraceae. The record is from RNAcentral.